Molecule: ribosomal RNA, 253 nt
Filed under: uncultured bacterium
Lineage: Bacteria
Description: partial 16S ribosomal RNA
Rfam family: Bacterial small subunit ribosomal RNA
Source: RNAcentral
UACGGAGGGUGCAAGCGUUGUCCGGAUUCAUUGGGCGUAAAGGGUGCGUAGGCGGCGUGGUAAGUCGGAUGUGAAAUCUCGGAGCUUAACUCCGAAACUGCAUUCGAUACUGCCGUGCUUGAGGACUGGAGAGGAGACUGGAAUUUACGGUGUAGCGGUGAAAUGCGUAGAUAUCGUAAGGAAGACCAGUGGCGAAGGCGGGUCUCUGGACAGUUCCUGACGCUGAGACGCGAAAGCGUGGGGAGCAAACAGG